AACGAACGCUGGCGGCAGGCUUAACACAUGCAAGUCGAACGGUUGUAGCAAUACAGCAGUGGCGCACGGGUGAGUAACGCGUGGAUAUCUGCCUUUUGGUUCGGAAUAACUCCGGGAAACUGGAGCUAAUACCGGAUGGUUCCUACGGGAUAAAGAUUUAUCGCCAAAAGAUGAGUCCGCGUACGAUUAGCUAGUUGGUGAGGUAAUGGCUCACCAAGGCGACGAUCGUUAGCUGGUCUGAGAGGACGAUCAGCCACACUGGGACUGAGACACGGCCCAGACUCCUACGGGAGGCAGCAGUGGGGAAUAUUGGACAAUGGGGGCAACCCUGAUCCAGCCAUGCCGCGUGAGUGAUGAAGGCCUUCGGGUUGUAAAGCUCUUUGGUCGGGGACGAUGAUGACGGUACCCGCAGAAUAAGCCCCGGCGUAACUUCGUGCCAGCAGCCGCGGUAAU
RNAcentral lists this ribosomal RNA (453 nucleotides) under uncultured bacterium. RNAcentral describes it as "bacterial SSU rRNA". It matches the Rfam family "Bacterial small subunit ribosomal RNA", at positions 29 to 524 of the family's 1533-position model. The record is from RNAcentral.